UCCACACAUGGGCUUUGGUUUAGAGGGAUGAUGUGAGCCAGCGCUUUGGCUGCGAUGAAACUACCCGCCUGCCUGUGGAAGGUCUGGGAUGCUGCACUUACCUAUGGCCUCAAACCUUCACUGACCCACGCAUCUCCCCCUCCUCCCUGCAACUGGAAGGAAACCAUGGCAUCAGAACACAUUGGGACUGGCAGCUGCCUCCAGCACAAGGACUCAGAGUCGCAUCAUUGGAUUCCUGGACCCACUUGUGCCUGCUAUCAGCUUCCUGUUCCUGAGAAAUCAGGAGAGGGUGACCUCAUGGAAACCCAGUCAUCAGCAAGAGGAGAGGCCGGCAGCAUUGGACGAGGGAGGCCGUCACAGAAUCAGGACCAGAGCUCGCUGGCCUUGGCGUUGAGAAGGUUUAUUGGUGGCCUCCUGUCUAAUUGAAUAU
Long non-coding RNA from Phacochoerus africanus (Common warthog), 430 nucleotides. RefSeq lists it as uncharacterized. The transcript has 3 exons. Lineage: Eukaryota; Metazoa; Chordata; Mammalia; Artiodactyla; Suidae. The record is from RefSeq and is a predicted model, not a curated record.